RNAcentral lists this ribosomal RNA (497 nucleotides) under uncultured bacterium. RNAcentral describes it as "partial 16S ribosomal RNA". It matches the Rfam family "Bacterial small subunit ribosomal RNA", at positions 28 to 507 of the family's 1533-position model. The record is from RNAcentral.
GAUGAACGCUGGCGGCGUGCCUAAUACAUGCAAGUCGAGCGAACAGACGAGGAGCUUGCUCCUCUGACGUUAGCGGCGGACGGGUGAGUAACACGUGGAUAACCUACCUAUAAGACUGGGAUCACUUCGGGAAACCGGAGCUAAUACCGGAUAAUAUAUUGAACCGCAUGGUUCAAUAGUGAAAGACGGUUUUGCUGUCACUUAUAGAUGGAUCCGCGCCGCAUUAGAUAGUUGGUAAGGUAACGGCUUACCAAGGCAACGAUGCGUAGCCGACCUGAGAGGGUGAUCAGCCACACUGGAACUGAGACACGGUCCAGACUCCUACGGGAGGCAGCAGUAGGGAAUCUUCCGCAAAGGGCGAAAGCCUGACGGAGCAACGCCGCGUGAGUGAUGAAGGUCUUCGGAUCGUAAAACUCUGUUAUUAGGGAAGAACAAAUGUGUAAGUAACUAUGCACGUCUUGACGGUACCUAAUCAGAAAGCCACGGCUAACUACGUG